GGGAACUGAGUAAUCUCCUGAGAUGUUCACUGAGAUCAGCUUCUAGGUUACAGAUUUCUGAAGUUGGACGGACGGAUCUUCAUCUCGGCGAACUCGAUGGAGUGUUCGUGGCCUUUCCAGUGGAACCAGUUCACACCCUGAGGAAAGAAGGACAAUUUGCAGCUGCCUCCACCAGCGCUCCAAAAGCAUCACACAGUUUAUAAAAGGUUGCGUGUCAUUCCAACAUGUUGAAUCUGUUACUACAAUUUCCCCACAACGCAGCAUACAUAGCCGCUCCCAGAGGCUCUUUUCAGCAACGUACCGCCUCACAUCACAUAACACAGCAUCAUCAGCGAACGCGGCUAUCACCACAGCUAACACUUUGAGUGUCUGAGCCGAGCCCUGAGAGGGCUGCACUCACUGCUGGUGAAGACGGUAGAGAUGACUUGGCUCCUCUUGGGACCAGCGAGAGCUUCCAACUUCACUGAAUAUUCUGUCGAUGCGCUGAGGUCGGCCAUG
Poeciliopsis prolifica (blackstripe livebearer) is the source of this 498-nucleotide long non-coding RNA. RefSeq lists it as uncharacterized. The record is from RefSeq and is a predicted model, not a curated record. The transcript has 5 exons. Lineage: Eukaryota; Metazoa; Chordata; Actinopteri; Cyprinodontiformes; Poeciliidae.